GACGAACGCUGGCGGCGUGCUUAACACAUGCAAGUCGAACGAUGAAGCCCAGCUUGCUGGGUGGAUUAGUGGCGAACGGGUGAGUAACACGUGGGCAACCUGCCCCAAACUCUGGGAUAACUCCUCGAAAGAGGUGCUAAUACCGGAUACGAACUAGACAGACAUCUGUACUAGUUGGAAAGUUUUUCGGUUUGGGAUGGGCCCGCGGCCUAUCAGCUUGUUGGUGAGGUAACGGCUCACCAAGGCUACGACGGGUAACCGGCCUGAGAGGGCAGCCGGUCACACUGGGACUGAGACACGGCCCAGACUCCUACGGGAGGCAGCAGUGGGGAAUAUUGCGCAAUGGGCGAAAGCCUGACGCAGCGACGCCGCGUGAGGGAUGAAGGUCUUCGGAUCGUAAACCUCUUUCAGUAGGGACGAAGCGAAAGUGACGGUACCUAAAGAAGAAGCACCGGCUAACUACGUGCCAGCAGCCGCGGUAA
This 482-nucleotide ribosomal RNA is filed under the name uncultured bacterium. RNAcentral describes it as "partial 16S ribosomal RNA". It matches the Rfam family "Bacterial small subunit ribosomal RNA", at positions 28 to 523 of the family's 1533-position model. The record is from RNAcentral.